CGGAUCGGAGUCUGNAACCCGACUCCGUGAAGCUGGAUUCGCUAGUAAUCGCGCAUCAGCCAUGGCGCGGUGAAUACGUUCCCGGGCCUUGUACACACCGCCCGUCAAGCCAUGGGAGCCGGGGGUGCUUGAAGUGCGUCGCCGCAAGGCGCGCUCUAGAGCAAAACCGGUGACUGGGGCUAAGUCGUAACAAGGUAUC
Molecule: ribosomal RNA, 199 nt
Filed under: uncultured bacterium
Lineage: Bacteria
Description: partial 16S ribosomal RNA
Rfam family: Bacterial small subunit ribosomal RNA
Source: RNAcentral